Molecule: ribosomal RNA, 440 nt
Filed under: uncultured bacterium
Lineage: Bacteria
Description: partial 16S ribosomal RNA
Rfam family: Bacterial small subunit ribosomal RNA
Source: RNAcentral
CCUACGGGAGGCAGCAGUAGGGAAUCUUUCACAAUGGGCGAAAGCCUGAUGGAGCAACGCCGCGUGCAGGAUGAAGGCCUUCGGGUUGUAAACUGCUUUUAUAAGCGAGAAAUAUGAUGGUAACUUAUGAAUAAGGAUCGGCUAACUACGUGCCAGCAGCCGCGGUAAUACGUAGGUGGCAAGCGUUAUCCGGAUUUACUGGGUGUAAAGGGCGUGUAGGCGGGACUGCAAGUCAGAUGUGAAAACCACGGGCUCAACCUGUGGCCUGCAUUUGAAACUGUAGUUCUUGAGUACUGGAGAGGCAGACGGAAUUCCUAGUGUAGCGGUGAAAUGCGUAGAUAUUAGGAGGAACACCAGUGGCGAAGGCGGUCUGCUGGACAGCAACUGACGCUGAGGCGCGAAAGCGUGGGGAGCAAACAGGAUUAGAUACCCUUGUAGUC